AGGGUUAGAUUGGGGGCGAUGGUGAUGGAGUUGCCGCCAAUGGAUCUGGUGACUAAGGUGCUCGAUUCCUCUGAUCUCACCGGUGAGAAGGCUGUGGUGGCCAAGAUGAUGAAGGAAUUACAGGAGAAGCAUCCCAUACAGCUCCAGUACGACGCAGAUGUCUUGCUCCACGCUUUGUGUAAACCCUGGGAAGUGGGUGGUCACGCUUACGAUUUUAAGAAAUGCCAUCGCCAAUUAAGAAUCACCGAUCCAUAUCAAACUUAUUCGACAGACCAAGUCUUGCUUCAAUGGCACGAGAGAGUAGUAGCAGAAAGAGAGGCAUGGAACAGGCAAAGGCAGCUCAAAGCACACAUGCUCUUCCUUCUUUCCAAUCUCCAAGUUGCGGAGAGGCAGCGGCGUCGCACCAUAGGUUCACAAGCGCUCUAUCUCUCAAUCGUCACCGAGCUGCGUUGAGGUUUUAGUCAAGUCUAUCGCGAGCCAGAUGAGAGAAGCGAAGACUUACGCAUCCCCAAGAGGAGCCUGCUGAUUUCAAAGAAUCGAGCGGCAACUUAAGGCUCUUGAUCGAUACGUACUUCGCGAAGAGACCCUCGGAGCUUAAGUUGCUGGAGCCAGUGGCGGAGGUGAUUGUCAAGCCAGAGGAUCCUCCCGCCGAGCCGGCGACGAUGAUAGUCAAGCCCGAGGAGGAUACUUCCACUUCCAAAGACCCAGCAGUGCUAGUCAAGCCGGAGGAUCCUCCAACCGAGCCAGCAACAUUGCUACCGCUUCGCAGCUCUACGCCAAAGAUUGUCAUGGAAGUUCCAAGCCCAAGAACAGUGGCUUUGAGGCAGGAAGUGAAAGACCUCGAUCUGUUCGACGAGAAGCUCACGCCACCCGAGCCAGAGGCACCAAAGAAGAAGAAAUAAAAAAGUCCAGUCCAAAUGCCUUGGAAAGAAACGAAGAAAUCAUUCCAUUGUUUUGGUGCUAACACAGGUAACUUGAGUCUAACUGAGUCCUUCAGGUUGAACGUCGUCUCCAUGGUCUCGUUUCCGUGCCAAAGGUUCUUAAACAUCACCAAGUUCGCCGCCGACCAACAUCAAAGCCAUAUGGUGAUACGAUUUCCUUCACCUUACGGAUUUGUGAACGCACUGAUUCCUACACACAGACGUCAGCCAUUCUUGUGUCGAAACCCAGCAACUUGCAUUGAAUUCCGACGUCAGAGAUCGUCGAGUCCGGCCAAGAUGUUGGCGAUAAUGCCAAGGUUGGAGAGCAAUCCCUGUGAAUCGCAGCAAGAAAAAGAAUCUGAUCCCUUGGCCUUGAAGUGACUCGGUCAAGUGAACUUGUCUGCCUGCCUGAUAGUCGUAUUAUAAUUCUAUAUGCUCUCCAUUAAGGA
RNA transcript from Selaginella moellendorffii, 1369 nucleotides. RefSeq lists it as uncharacterized. The transcript is spliced from 6 exons. NCBI's taxonomy places the organism in Eukaryota, Viridiplantae, Streptophyta, Lycopodiopsida, Selaginellales, Selaginellaceae. The record is from RefSeq and is a predicted model, not a curated record.